RNA transcript from Panicum virgatum (switchgrass), 678 nucleotides. RefSeq lists it as uncharacterized. The record is from RefSeq and is a predicted model, not a curated record. Lineage: Eukaryota; Viridiplantae; Streptophyta; Magnoliopsida; Poales; Poaceae. The transcript has 2 exons.
CUCAACCCAUCCCAUUGGAGAUGUUCUCAUACACACCGGAGACACUGCGAGGCACUCGCAGAGCCAACACUUGGUGGGAGCAAAGCCAAAAUCUAGCGCACACGGCAUCGGCAUGGAUGCACGGUGAAGGGCUGGAGCCUGGAGGUCCCCACGGCCAAAAGAUCUCCGAUGACCGCUGGAUCUGCAUGGAUCGCCAAAUCAUUCGGUGAGCCUUGCUGGGGCCAGGACGCCCCGACGGACAAGCUUGAGCGAUCUCGACGCUUUCCCCCCAAAAUUGUCCACCUUACGGGGAUGACCCCUAAACGGGAGUAGCAGCACGAACAGCAUUGCGAGCACCUGGGAGACAGGAUCGAUGGAGGAGGAUGGCGGCUCCAGCAGCUGGGAGUGGUUUGUGGCUAGGGCGGGCACCGGCGAUGCGGGCGGAAUUGGAGGAGGCCCCAACGCCGGCAUCGUCGUGCAGCCCCUGCAGGCACCGCAGAAGAGCAUUGGCGAGGCGCGGGGGAUCCUGGAGCACAACCGCGUGUUUUUUUUUGAUUUAGCAUACCUGUAUUACAGGAUAAGGAAAGCAUACACAUACGAGAACAAAUACAGAAACGCUGUGUAAGGAUACAUGGGCAGUUGUUCUCGCCAUCUUACACAAAGGCCCCUGGAAGAAAUAGAAAUUACACAAAAGUCCCA